RNAcentral lists this ribosomal RNA (762 nucleotides) under Venturiocistella sp. KUS-F52028. RNAcentral describes it as "SSU rRNA". It matches the Rfam family "Bacterial small subunit ribosomal RNA", at positions 1 to 1108 of the family's 1533-position model. Lineage: Eukaryota; Fungi; Ascomycota; Leotiomycetes; Helotiales; Hyphodiscaceae. The record is from RNAcentral.
AUUAUUAUGAAAUCUUGGAUCUGUACGACUGAAUAUGAUCCAAGAUUAAUAAUCUUGGAUCAGAACGACUCAAUUUAGAGCAGUACGACUAUUUAUAAAUCGAUUUUAUCGAAUAAAGUUCUAGGUAAUAUAUUUGAUUAUGACAAUAAUUACUGAUGUGUCUUGACCAAAUUACGUGCCAGCAGUCGCGGUAAUACGUAGAAGACUAGUGUUAUUCAUCUUUAGUAGGUUUAAAGGGUACCUAGACGGUAAAAUUAGUCCAAAACAGGAUACGGUUUUACUAGAGUUAUAUAUGAGAAGGUGAGUAUUUACGGAGUAGAGUUGAAAUUCAUUGAUACCUUAAGGACUGGUAACGGCGAAAGCAACCUUUUAUCUAAUAACUGACGUUGAGGGACGAAGGCUUGGGUAACGAACAGGAUUAGAUACCCUAGUAGUCCUAGCAGAGAAUUAUGAAUGCCAUAGAUUAGAUAAAUUUAGUCUAUAAAUGAAAGUGCAAGCAUUUCACCUCAAGAGUAAUGUGGCAACGCAGGAACUGAAAUCAUUAGACCGUUUCUGAAACCAGUAGUGAAGUAUGUUAUUUAAUUCGUAGUUACGCGAAAAACCUUACCACAAUUUGAAUAUUAUCUUAAAAUAGCUCAAUUAAAAUAAUAUUAUUAAAAAUAAUAUAAUUGUAUUAUUUAAGAUAUUACAAGCGUUGCACGGCUGUCUUCAGUUAAUGUCGUGAGAUCAUGGUUAAUUCCUUUAAAUUAACGGAAGCCCUUG